RNAcentral lists this unclassified non-coding RNA (377 nucleotides) under soil metagenome. RNAcentral describes it as "partial contains 5.8S ribosomal RNA, internal transcribed spacer 2, and large subunit ribosomal RNA". The stretch from base 1 to 121 matches the Rfam family "5.8S ribosomal RNA", at positions 35 to 154 of the family's 154-position model. The record is from RNAcentral.
GAUGAAGAACGUAGCGAAUUGCGAUAUGUAAUGUGAAUUGCAGAUUUUCAGUGAAUCAUCGAAUCUUUGAACGCAUCUUGCGCUCCUUGGUAUUCUGAGGAGCAUGCCUGUUUGAGUGUCAUUAAAUUCUCAACUACACUGACUUUGAAUUGGUGUGGCUUGGAUUUGGGGGGAAAAUUGUUGUGGGCUUUUUGUAUAGUCUGCUCCCCUGAAAUUGAUUAGCGGUACCUUUGUGGAACUGUCUACAGGUGUGAUAAUUAUCUACAUCUUAGACAUCUGCUGGAAUGCUGCUUUCUAAACCUUACUUGUAUUGACAAUCUUGACCUCAAAUCAGGUAGGACUACCCGCUGAACUUAAGCAUAUCAAUAAGCGGAGGA